GAUUCCGUAGCUCAGCCGGUAGAGCAUCUCCCUUUUAAGGAGAGGGCCCUGGGUUCGAAUCCCAGCGGGAUCA
Molecule: transfer RNA, 73 nt
Filed under: Cyclobacteriaceae bacterium
Lineage: Bacteria; Pseudomonadati; Bacteroidota; Cytophagia; Cytophagales; Cyclobacteriaceae
Description: tRNA-Lys
Rfam family: tRNA
About the family: Transfer RNA (tRNA) molecules are approximately 80 nucleotides in length.
Source: RNAcentral